Molecule: ribosomal RNA, 1403 nt
Filed under: uncultured bacterium
Lineage: Bacteria
Description: bacterial SSU rRNA
Rfam family: Bacterial small subunit ribosomal RNA
Source: RNAcentral
AGAGUUUGAUCCUGGCUCAGGAUGAACGCUAGCGACAGGCUUAACACAUGCAAGUCGAGGGGCAGCGGGGGCGUAGCAAUAUGCCUGCCGGCGACCGGCGCACGGGUGAGUAACACGUAUGUAACCUGCCCUAUGCAGGGGGAUAACCCGGAGAAAUCCGGCCUAAUACCGCGUAACACCUUAGGGGAGCAUUCUCUUGAGGUUAAAGGAGAGAUCCGGCAUAGGAUGGACAUGCGUCGCAUUAGGUAGACGGCGGGGUAACGGCCCACCGUGCCGACGAUGCGUAGGGGUUCUGAGAGGAAGGCCCCCCACACUGGUACUGAGACACGGACCAGACUCCUACGGGAGGCAGCAGUGAGGAAUAUUGGUCAAUGGCCGAGAGGCUGAACCAGCCAAGUCGCGUGAGGGAAGAAUGUCCUAAGGAUUGUAAACCUCUUUUGUCGGGGAGCAAAAAGGCUCUGCGGAGUCGUAUUGAGAGUACCCGAAGAAAAAGCAUCGGCUAACUCCGUGCCAGCAGCCGCGGUAAUACGGAGGAUGCGAGCGUUAUCCGGAUUUAUUGGGUUUAAAGGGUGCGCAGGCGGCGUGUCAAGCAAGCGGUAAAAUAGCGGGGCUCAACCCCGUCGAGCCGUUUGAACUGGCGCGCUUGAGUUCAGGCGAGGUAGGCGGAAUUCGUGGUGUAGCGGUGAAAUGCAUAGAUAUCACGAAGAACUCCGAUUGCGAAGGCAGCUUACCAGUCUGCGACUGACGCUCAGGCACGAAAGUGUGGGUAUCGAACAGGAUUAGAUACCCUGGUAGUCCACACAGUAAACGAUGAGCGCUAGGUGUCCGGGUCGCAUGAGACUUGGGUGCCCGAGCGAAAGCGUUAAGCGCUCCACCUGGGGAGUACGCCGGCAACGGUGAAACUCAAAGGAAUUGACGGGGGCCCGCACAAGCGGAGGAACAUGUGGUUUAAUUCGAUGAUACGCGAGGAACCUUACCCGGGCUCAAACGACUCAGGAAUAUAUUGGAAACGAUGUAGCCAGCAAUGGUCUGAGUCGAGGUGCUGCAUGGUUGUCGUCAGCUCGUGCCGUGAGGUGUCGGCUUAAGUGCCAUAACGAGCGCAACCCCUACCGCCAGUUGCCAACGGGUAAAGCCGGGAACUCUGGCGGGACUGCCGGCGCAAGCUGCGAGGAAGGCGGGGAUGACGUCAAAUCAGCACGGCCCUUACGUCCGGGGCGACACACGUGUUACAAUGGCAGGUACAGCGGGAAGCCACCUGGUGACAGGGAGCGGAACCCGAAAGCCUGUCUCAGUUCGGAUUGGAGUCUGCAACUCGACUCCAUGAAGCUGGAUUCGCUAGUAAUCGCGCAUCAGCCAUGGCGCGGUGAAUACGUUCCCGGGCCUUGCACUCACCGCCCGUCAAG